UGGGGAAUAUUGCACAAUGGGCGCAAGCCUGAUGCAGCCAUGCCGCGCGUAUGAAGAAGGCCUUCGGGUUGUAAAGUACUUUCAGCGGGGAGGAAGGGAGUAAAGUUAAUACCUUUGCUCAUUGACGUUACUCGCAGAAGAAGCACCGGCUAACUCCGUGCCAGCAGCCGCGGUAAUACGGAGGGUGCAAGCGUUAAUCGGAAUCACUGGGCGUAAAGCGCACGCAGGCGGUUUGUUAAGUCAGAUGUGAAAUCCCCGGGCUCAACCUGGGAACUGCAUCUGUUACUGGCAAGCUUGAGACUCGUAGAGAGGGGUAGAAUUCCAGGUGUAGCGGUGAAAUGCGUAGAGAUCUGGGGGAAUACCGGUGGCGAAGGCGGCACCCUGGACGAAGACUGACGCUCAGGUGCGAAAGAGUGGGGAGCAAACAGG
This 429-nucleotide ribosomal RNA is filed under the name Chloroflexota bacterium. RNAcentral's name for it is "Chloroflexi bacterium partial 16S ribosomal RNA". It matches the Rfam family "Bacterial small subunit ribosomal RNA", at positions 355 to 776 of the family's 1533-position model. Lineage: Bacteria; Bacillati; Chloroflexota. The record is from RNAcentral.